RNAcentral lists this long non-coding RNA (17363 nucleotides) under Marmota monax (woodchuck). The stretch from base 4860 to 4929 matches the Rfam family "tRNA". Lineage: Eukaryota; Metazoa; Chordata; Mammalia; Rodentia; Sciuridae. The record is from RNAcentral.
CUCCCGGCUGCGCGCACGUGAGCGUGCACUACGCUGGUUUCUAAAUUUAGUUCCGGCGGCUUCCCUGGGGUCGCCUGAGGUAAACGCGGGCAAGGGGUUGCGGCGGGCGAGAGAAGCAGUUCUUGUUGUCCCUUCUUGUCUCUCCGUGGGUCCUCCUUCAGGACGGGGGUCCGGCGGGGACUCGUGGUGCUGGAAGGGGGCGUUUCCCGAGGCGCGAACCGAGGGGGUCCCGUCCGCGUGUCAGCCCAGCCCCUCGCGCGGCCUUGCCCUGAAUAGGCGCCAUUGAACCGAGGUUUCUUCUUGGAGGACCACUUGGGGCAGCAUUUGGGGGGCGGCGUGGGUCGAAAUCACUAGGGGAGCGGGACUUGGGUCGGAGGGAGUCCAGUGGGCGGUCGAUGGCCGACGUGGAGGGGGAGGUCGUGACACUGGACCUCAGAGAACAUGCUCCCGAGGCUGAGGUGGCGUGGCUUCGGGAGCGAUAUCGCUUCCGCGCGGUGAAAGAGGGCCUUCCAGCCUCGGGCCAAGCACAGGGAGGGACCUGAAGGUCACUGGGUGAGGGGCCAGCGCAGGUGCCACAAACCCAGGGCAGAGCCUAACGCAUACCAGGGUGACCUUCCAGGAGCCAAAUGAAAGCUUCGUGUUUUUUUGUUUUUUUUUUUUUAAUUUUUGUUCCAAGAAAUUGGUGCCAAACAACUUUUGAAAUCCACAUUCUCCACUUCUUUGGGUGGCAGGACAGAAGUUCUGGAAAUAAGCCCUGUUAGCGUAAAAUGAGCUACAGUUUUGACUUUGAAGAGUGGUCUGACUUGUCACAGUGACCUCACUUCUGUUGUUAGGGUGGUAUCCUCAGGUUUCGACUUCAUUAGGUGGUGUUGGAAAGUCCAAGACAACGAUAAACCCCGAAUAUUAAAUGUUAAUGUGGGACAAUUUCUAAUGGUUGGGUUGUUAAGUUUCUUUCUCUCUCUCUCUUUAAGGAAACUGAUAAGUUAGAUGUGGAGUAAAGAUAGCCUUGGUCUUUUAUAUCCUGCAUUGUCUUCCUUAACUCAUUCAGCUCUUUAUUUGUAUCCUCUUUGAAUUCAUUGAUCAUUUUUAACAUUCUUUUGAAUGUUCUUUGACAUUUCAUCUACCUUAAUAUCUUUGGAAUCAGUUACUAGAGAGUUACGAACUUUUGGAGAGCCAUAUUACUUUGUUUUUUUCAUAUUUCUUUUAUUUGUUUUUUGAGAUUUGCCCAUUUGGGGGGGUAUAUAUAUAUCUUCUACUUUUCUGGGAGGGCCUUCUUGAGAAAUAGCCUUCUCUUAAUGAUGUACCCAGGGCUGUUAGUUUAUUGGUAAUGUUAAAUUUAAUUCCAGAUGGACUUAGUGUUAGUUUGCCUCUUGUUUCUGGAUGUGAUUGAUGAGUUUUGACACAAGUGUGUAGUGUGUUGGAGCCUGAGAAACCUGUAUCCUCUGGAGGUCUUAGAAGAGAGGGUUCUCUCUGGUAGUUUAGGCAGAUGUGUUGUAAUUGGUAAAUCUGUGGUUACGACUUCAGUCUUGUCAACUUAGUUCUGUCUGCAAGGUAUAGGAACAGCCUAUGCUGAGGUUCUUUGUGGUGUGGUUUCUGCCCCAGUUGUGCUACUUUUUUCUCAUGUUACUAUGGGAUCAGAUGUCAGGAGCAGAACUUCAGGACCCGGUCAGCCAUGUUUUUUUGAAAGUAGGUCCAUGGCAGUAGGAUUUUUUCUCCCCUAUUCUUAGAGUUGAAGUAUUCAGCAAGGUUUGAGUGGUACCAGAUUGUGGCUGAAGUAAAGUACACUUUUUCUUGCCUUGCUAAUGGAAAAGUACCCACUUAAUACAUGCAAGCUACCAGGCUUGAUCCAGACUCCACUCAAAAGGAAGAAAAACAUAAAAACAAACUAGAUAUGGAAAUAUAAUAAAAAUCAAUUAAACCACACUACCAAUAAUAAUAGAAAAGAAAGGGGGAAAUAUUAUAGAAUAAACUGAAAAUGGAAAUGUUAAUGAAAAUAAAAAAAAUAAAUGAGACAAUAGAAGAGGGGAGAGGAUCCUAUUAUGCUAUAAUAAAAAAGGUUAAAAAAUAAGGAAAAGGUACCAUUAAAAAUAAUAAUAGAUGGGGGAAAAAAAGCCAAGAAUUCCUUCUAGUUCAAAUGAUCUAAUUGGAAACACUUUCUGAGCAGGUAUACCCUCUUCCCAGAGCCCCUUAGUCUUUGUGCCCAGUACAUGGUCAUUGUCUGGGCCAUAGCCAUCCUUUCUCUCCAGCAAAGAUUUGGUGUUUUGUGGGGUUUGCCCAGGUGGGCAUAAAUUUAGCCCAGCUGACUACAGUCUGUUUACCUGAGGGUGUGGCAAGUAUUCAAUCCAGGAUGCCUCUAGGUGUGAGGGGAGAGAAUAAACCCUGCAAAAUCUGCAUGGGAGCAGGAGGCACUCCAGGAACUGUGCAUUUUACCACCCUCAGUCUGGAUGCAUUCAGGCCUGGGUCCUUCCUUCAUAACAAUACUUGAAAGUAGUCUUGCUUUUUAUAGAGGACACCAAUCACUGUGUUCUGCUGUCUGCCUCAGUCUGCUUCUUGCUACUCAAACCAUUCAGCAGGCUUGUGCCAGCUAUGGCUGGUGUCACACCCAGUCAGUGUGGCAGGGUGUUCACAGGGACCCUGAACUGUGAUUGCUUCAAGUUUUCUGCACCUCAGAGCAGUUUGGUCCCUAACAAUUGGAUCCUUCUUAUGAUGGCUUUUGGUUAAAGCACUCUUGAGAAUUGCUGAAUAUUGUAUUGACUUCUCUAAAACUAUCUUGCUAUGCAGGAGGGGAAACUCAGUUCAGAUACCCAAAUUGGAUUUAUUUAUUUGUAUUUUAUCCCAGAUUAUUUUUUUAUUCUUUUUAGAUAUACAUGACGAUAGGGUGUAUUUUGACCAUACAUACAUGGAGGAUAACUUCCCAUUCUUGAGGUUUUACAUGAUGUGGACUUAACACUGGUCAUGUAUUCAUAUUUGAACAUAGGAAAGUUAUGUCUGACUCAUUCUGCUGUCUUUUCUGUUCCCAUCCUCCCUUCCUUUCCUUCAUUCCCUUUUGUCUAAUCCAAUGAACUUCUAUCCCCCUCCACCCCUGCAUAAGUUUGUGUUACCAUUGGCAUAUCAGAGAGAACAUGCGGCCUUUGGUUUUUUUAGGAUUGGCUUAUUUCACUUAGCAUGACAGUCUCCAGUUCUGUCCAUCUACUGGCUGAUGCCAUAAUUUCAUUCUCAUUUAUGGCUGAGUAAUAUUCCAUUGUAUAUACAUACUACAUAUUCUUUAUACAUUCAUUUUUUGAAGGGCACUUAGGUUGGUUCCAUAGCUAUUGUGAAUUGAGCUGCUAUAAACAUUGAUGUGACUGCAUCACUAUAGUAUGCUGAUUUUAAAUCCUUGGAUAUAUACCAAGGAGUGGGAUAACUGGGUCCUGAACUGGAUCUAGAAUUUGUAUGAACUGUGGAUUUCUCUUUCAGUUAGAACUUCCAGUCUAAAGUUACAAUCAGGAUUGAUUGUACCCUCUGGCUUACCUUAUGUUUGUAGUGUCAUUCCCUCACUGGGGAGCCAAACCAUUGUGACCUGUGUUGUACUUUUCUCUACAUUCCCUUUCCAAUUCUCCAUGCUGUUUAGGUUUCCCCUUACUUCUUUAUUACUUCUCAGAGUUUUCCUUCUUUUUCAGAAUAUAGUAUUUGCUUUGUUGUUCUGACUUUUCUCACUUGGAGAGUUGUGAAAAGGAAACGUUUUAUCCACCAUCUUGUCUCUUCUCUUUUUUCACUGGAAGUAAAAAUUCCAGUACCUCUGACACUUCUACGGUUAAGACUGGUUGGUAAAUGGGUUGUUUGCAUUUGAAACAGAAUCAAUUUCUGCACAAUGAUACCUCCCUGCCUAUCCUGAAAUUGAAGGGUGCACAAUGAAGAGAUUGUACUUACCCUUUCUUAGAAGUUAUUGAUGUAAAGGGAGGGAGAUCUUUAUCAUAAAGCUUUAGUAGCCAGAGCUCUCAGCAAAAUGAAAUUGAAACUACUCUCAAUUUUAUAAAAGGCUAAUGACGGCAAAGUAUGUUGUCAUUUUUUGACACAUACCUUGAGAUUUAGUUUUGAAAAUAUAUAGUAUGUUAAAGUGGUUAAUAUUUUCAUUGAACUUAGUACCUCUACAAAAUCUUUUAUCAGAAGGUUUAUAUUUAUAUCCACCAAGUUUAAUUAAUUGAAUCAAGAAAGUAGAGGUGUAUAUUUAGAAAGUUUUUUUAAACAAGAUUUUAAUUAGUGUUUUAUUAAGCAUUCCAUCUAAAUUUUCCCAUAUAGAAAAUUGUGUGCGGUGAUAAAAAUUAGAAAUAGAUUUCUUGGAAAUAUGAAAAUAGAGGAAAAGAAAAAAUAAAGGACAUUUUCCCAUUGACCAGGGUAAUCUGCCAAUUCCUGUUCACAUUGAUAUUUUCCUCAUCAAGUAUACGUCUUUUUUUUUUUUUUUUUUUUUUUUAAACGAUACUAGGGAUUGAACCCAGGGCUGCUUGACCACUGGGUCAACAUCCCCAGCCCUUUUUAAAUUUUGAGAACAAGGUCUUGCUAAGUUACUGAGACUUUUUGAACCUACAGUCCUCCUGCCUCAGGGUCCUGAGUUGUUGGGAUUACCACCAGAGCCGCUAUACCUGGCCUCCAAGUAUUCAUCUUUAGGCCCAAUUUCACCUGGAUUCCCCCCCCCCCUCAAAAUAGAGCCUUAUAAUGAUAACAACAGUGUUCAUUUGUUGAGCACCAUGUAUCAGACCCUGUGCUCAAUGCUUUACAUAAUUAAUUUUUCUUUCUCAAUGUUAUAUCAUUUUAUAGGUUCAGGGAAGUUAACCGAGUUAGCUAAGGUCACACAGUUAUUAAGAAACAGCCAUGAGUGGACUGGGGUUGUGGCUCAGUUGGUAGAGCACUUGCCUAGCAUGUGUGAGGCCUUGGGUUCGAUCCUCAGCACCACAUAUGAAUAAGCAAAUAAAGUGAAAAAUCCACUGGCAACUAAAAAAUAUUAAAGAAAGAAACAGCCAUAAGCCGUGUGCAGUGUGCAUCAGCUUGUGAGGCUGAGACAGGAGGAUCGAAAAUUCUAAGCCAGCCUCAGCAAAAGCAAGGUGCCAAGCAACUCAAUGAGACCUUGUCUCUAAAAAAAUAUAUAAAAAAAUAGGGCUAGGGAUGUGGCUCAGUGGAUGAGUGCCCUUUAGUUAAUCCUGGUACCCCCCCCCUACAAAAAAAAAAAAAAAAGAAACAGCCAUGAUUUGUAUUAGAGUUCUCCAGAAAAAUACAACCAAUAGAAAAAAUAUAUGUGUGUGUACAUGAUUGAUUAUAAGAAAUUGACUCAUGCAAUUAUUGGAAACUGGCUAGUCUCAAGAUUUUCAGGGUGAGUCAGCAAGUUGGAGACCUGGGGAAGCUGAUGAUGUAGUGUGAGUCCAAAGGUAUAAAAAAAGUAUGUCCUAGUUGAAAGGCAGAUAGGAAGAAAGAAGAAAUCUCUUUUACCGUGGAGAUGGUCCAUCUUUUUUUUUAGUCAGGUUUUCAACUGAUUGGACAAAGUCUAUGUGCAUUAUUGAGGGAUUUCCUCAGUCUGUCAAUUUAAAUGUUAAUUUUAUCUUGAAUAACCCUCCCAGAAAUACCUAAAAUAAUGUUUGGUCAAUAAUGUCCAGCCAAGUUUGACAAAGAGUUACCCAUCACAUAAAAUGGGUAAUUCUUAUUUAUUUAUUUAUUUUGGUAUGAGGGAUUGAACCUAGGGGCCCUCAACCAUUGAGCCGUAUCCCCAGCCCUUUUUUGUAUUUUAUUUAGAACCUGGGUCUCAUUGAGUUGCUUAGAGCCUUACUAAAUUGCUGAGGCUGGCUUUGAAUUUGUCCUCCUGCCUCAGCCUCCCAAGUCGCUGGGAUUACAAAUGUACACCACUGUGCUUGGCAGUAAUUCUUAUUUAUUUAUUUAUUUUUUGCUGGGGGUGGGCAGGGGAAUUGAACCCAGGGCCUUGUGCUUAUGAGACAAGCACUCUACCAACUGAACUAUACUCCCAGCCCCAGCAAUUCUUAUUUUAAAAAAUUACUUUGUGACCUUUUCCUUUUAUUAUCAAAUAUAAAAAUAUCAAGGAGCAUUUAAAAAAUGUGGAUGAACAAAAUCGAAUUUUAUUGAUAGUCACAAAAGAUAUGGUUGAGCCUGUCUAGGUUUUACAAAUGAAAAAUUUAAGAUGAAUUUUGGAAGAUGAGCUUCAUUGGGAGAGGGUAGUUAUGAUAGUUGUCCCAUAUCAAUUCAUCAUUUUCAUCUCCUAAAAGUUAACUUACCAACCAUAAUACUUGAAGUAUAUUUGUAUUUGUUAAAAAUAAAGCCGGGUGUGGUGGCCACUCCUGUAAUCCCAGCAGCUCAGGAGGCUGAGACAGGAGAUUGUGAGUUCAAAGCCAGCCUCAGCAAUGACGAGGCGUUAAGCAACUCAGUGAGACCCUGUCUCUAAAUAAAAUACAAAAUAGGGCUGUGGAUGUUGCUCAGUGGUUGAAUGCCCCUGAGUUGAAUUCCCAGUAUCAAAAAUAAAAUAAAGCACUCUCCUACACUUUAGGGGGACAAAAAAUCAGGCAUGUAUUAUUUUUUUUUCAAUUGGCAAAAUUUCACUGGCCACGAUUAUAUUGCUUCAGUCAAGGCAAGAAAGCUCUUCCUGUUAUACAAUACAUUUGUUCUAGGGCUUAUAGGACCUCGAAUUACCCAUUCAUUUAAAUUGAUUUUGGUUUGCUUUGGUAUUCUAGUGAAAUAAAAUCAAGGUAUAAAGUAGGAAUGCAUAAGAAUCUAAGUUGAGAAGUUUCAUGAAUAAUUGGAUAACUUUUUUCAAGUUAGUUUCCUGUUGCAGACAAUGACUUAGAUCUCCAAAAUAGUUACAAAGCUGAGUCCUUUAUAAAGGAUUUAUUGGGUGUAUUUGCUUCUAUUGAAACCUUGGUAAAAAACAAAAUCACUUUAUUACCUCUUUCUGUAUUCUUUUUUUUUAAUAUUUAUUUUUCAGUUUUCGGUGGACACAACAUCUUUAUUUUAUUUUUAUGUGGUGCUGAGGAUCAAACCCAGCGCCCCGCUCAUGCCAGGCGAGAGCGUUACCGCACAUCCCCAGCCCUUUCUGUAUUCUUAAUAGUCUUUAUUUUUUAAAUUCAGUUCUAUUGGAAAUUAUUUUCUUUUGCCUUCCUUUAAAUGCUGAUCUAAAAUAUUUUAAGAAGCAAGUGAACCUGUCAAGUAAUAUAGCUAUCUGGAAAUUUUUGCCCUCAACUAUUACAGUUUUUGCAAUGUAAUGUAAGUAGUGUUAUGGUAAUAUUCUAGAAGUUUAAAUCAUUGCAAUUAUUAACAGUCUUAAAGCAUUAUUUUUGAGAUAUUUUAAAAUAUGCCUUGCCCCAGCAACACUGUGGUUAUAAUAAAUGUUUAAUAAUUCAAAUCCUUAUUUUUGAAAAGUGUAUCAUAAAUGAAUACAAUUACAAGACCUUCAUCACACAUAAAUACAGAACUUGUUUUAUACUUAAAUUGUAUUUUAAUUUUAGCUGGGUAGUUAAGAUUUCAGGCUUUUUUUAAAAAAAAGUUACGUUUAGUUGUCUGGACUCAGGUAACAAAGUACAUCUAAACCAUAGCAUCCUGUCCACAUUUACAGUAUUUUCCUUUUAGCUGCUUUACUUGCCUUUAUAGCAUGUGUGAUAUUUUGUAUUCAUUUGUUUUUGGUGUUCACUAGAACAUAAGUACCAUGAGAGCAGAGCCUUUGUUUCUUGCUUUAUCACCAGUGUGUAAAAUGAAGUAGUUCAUAAAUGAUUGGGGGUUAAUUAAUGUGCAAGUGUUUAAGAGAGAAUAGGGAUAAAGAAAGAUAAUGGGAUCACUAUGUAUCUGGAAAAUCUUUAAUGUCUCACUAAGUUGAAUUUUGGGUAAUUGGAAGUCACUGAUGGUUUUUAUAAUAAUGAAGUGGAAUGAUGAAAGUCAUGUUUUAGGUGAGUACGGUUGUAAAAUUCAGAAUAGAUUGCAUUGUGGCAGACACCAAAGACAAGGAUUAUUAUAGGAUACCAUGCUUUCCUGAUGUUCCUGUUACCAAAUUUGCUUCUCCUUCUUGGCAGAUAAUGAGGUUAUCUUGUACCAUCAUAUAUUUGGAGAUUGUGUUGUCCUGCAGGUUAUGAGAGUAGUGUUCCCAUGUUACACUGCCUUUUUCCUAAAUCCUGUGUUGGUUCUUCUCUGUAUCUCUUCCUGCCUACCAUCUUCUCCCCAGCUGUAGUCCUGUGGAAAAGGAAUUGUAACACCUCAGCAUACUUCCUUUAGGAAAGUGAGAGAUUGUUGUUUUUUUGUUUAUUUUUGUUUAUAUUUGUUUUUAUAUAUCUCUCCUCUCGGCUUAUCUAUAUUUUUCAGUGGCUAUCUUCCUCUAUAGGGACAGGCUCUUUUCAGUAUGCCAACUCACACAUGCAUAGCUCUCUCUGGUUUAUGAUAAUCUGUCUCUCCCCUGACUUCUUCAGAUUUGGGGGUGUAAAGGCUUCUUGCUCUGACUAUUCCCUAGCUGCUUCCAUAUUUUUAGUUGGUUUUCCUUAACCCAACCCUACCUUUGUAAUGGUCCCUUAGUUGAAUCACUUAGAUAUAUAUACUCCAGAAGUCUGAUGGUUUAAGCAGAAUGUAAGCACUCUUUUUCUUUCUGUGUCUGCUUUUCCACAGAAGUAUAGUAGAGACCAUGUAGCAAUAAAAAUCACUUUCAUAUUAUGUUGCUUGUUUUUUUGGUUUUGAAACUGAUAAAUGGUUAAAUUUGCCAUAUUAGAAAAACAGAAAAAAGGCAAGAGGGCAGAUAAAAGACACCUAGACUUGCCUUCUUUUCUACAAGAUAGAACUAGAGCAACAGGUGUGUGGCUAAAUGUCAAGGUAGAUGGCUGUGGGAGAGCACUGGAAUUCAACAGUGUAAAAAGCAGACAGUAGAACCCAGAGAUUUUGAAUAAUAGAAUCGCAAGUGAAACAGUGCCUAUUGAAUGGCAGCAUGGUCAGAGGAGGGGAAGGGUUGUAAGUGAAAGAGUGUCCCAUUGAAUUUCUGUAACAUAAAAUCUGACAUUGUGCAGACAAACGCAGUCUUAACAGACAAGAGACCUGGCACCCCAGUGAAUCCUCUGUAGAGGAACUUGUAUCAUCUCCCAGUGAACUUGUAUCAUCUUCCAGCACAGAUUUCUGGGUCUCCUUCGUCCCCACCUUCAGAGAUAUUCAGGACUGUGCUGCAGCACUGAGAAUUUGCUACACCCUGAGUGUGCAGCCUGAAACACUACCAAGUGCUCAUGGUGUACUAGCUCAUUUCAGCAUGUAAAGCUGGUGAGAGAGAUUUUCACCACAAAUCACUUACCUGGCAGACACUAUAACUGAAAGGAUUGGGGAGUGGGUGAAAAUCUUCUGGUCACUCUGUCCAUGGGAUACCUGGGAAGAAGCUUUAAGUAGUCGCUUAAUUGUAAAUAGGGGCUAUUUACAAUUGACAUAGUAUAAUCUGACUUGCUCCCUAUUUAAGCACCUUAGGGAAUUUUCAUUUUUGUGUAUUUUGUUCUUUUUGUUUUAAAUAUUUUUUGUUUUCCCUUUUUAUUUUUUAACUUUUGUUUUCUUUUUCCUUUUUUCCCCCUAUUUUUUUCUCUUGUUCUUAUUGGUGCUAUUAUUCAUAUUUAUUUUAUAUUUUUGGCUAUUUUUAUUUUUAUUUUUUGCAGUACAGGGAAUUGAGCCUGGGACCUCGUGCACAUUGGGUAGGUGCUCUAUCACUGGAACUAUACUCCCAGCCCAGCUGAGGAAUUGAACCCAACUCUAGCCACAAUUGAACCCAACUCUAGCCACAAUCUUGGUGGAUACUACAACUUAAAAAGAAUAUAAGGGCCAAAAGCUCCUGGCCAAUGACCUGCCUUCAAGUGGAGGUCUGAAGUCCCCUUCCUGGAUGGACAUUCCCAUAGUAACAGCAGAGAGGAAUAGUACACACGAUGUGGACACCACACCUACAGACCUCUGUAUGGGUCACACCCAUAUAUCAGAUUGUGCAUUCCUGGCAAGACUGAAUGUGAGUGCCACAGCGGGGAAGCUGUGAUCUUCGACCCUGACUCUCCCCAUGAAAUGGAGGAACUUCAGGCCCUUCACCAUAACUGGAGUAAUCAACCUCAGAAUUGCUUUUGUGUAAUAGAGCCAAUAUCAACAGUGCCUAUAGAAACUUCCACCACCUAGUAGGGGUUUCCAGAGGGUGUACCUCCAUGUCUCCACUUACUCUGCUGCCUACACUAAACAUGCCUGAAUUAUGAGAGGGUUCCCACUCUUGUGAGACUUGCCCAGAUAGUAGAUACCUCAGACUUCAGUAUGGCAUGCACUGUGUCCAGACCCACUAAUCAUAGCCCAAGAAGCCACAGAGAGAUUGCAUUAUUGAAUUGGAGGUAAACUCAACAUUAUACAAUAAUUUGACACCACAGGGCAUAUCAAUUGGAAGCCACUAAGAAGAACAUCACAUAAAAGUGGAAGAGAGUCCAAUUCAAUAGAUUGGUAAAUCUCAACCUAGAAACAUGAAAUAUGAUGCAACGUAAUAGAACACCUCCAAAAGUUCAUAACUCUUUAGUAACUGAUUCCAAAGAUAUCAAAGUGGAUGAAAUGCCACACAAAGAAUCUUUCAGGAGAACAAUGUUAAAAGCAGUAUGUGAUAAAAGGAUAAACAGCUGGAUGAAUUAACAAAACAAUUCAAGAAAGAUCUGAAAAGUUCAAUGUCAGAAAAUUCACUUGGAAGUCUCACUAUUAGAAUGGAUAAAAUAGAAGAAAGAAUAACAUAUAAAGAUGAAACUUUUGAAAUAUUAGUAGAGAAAGAAAAUUGAGUAGGUAUGACGUUGCCAUACAAGAGAUUUGGGACAACAUCACAAGACAAAAUAUCUGGCUCAUUGGCAUACCCGAGAGAGAAGAGCUACAGGUUGGGGGCAUUAAACAAAACCUAUUUAAUGAGCUGGGCGCCUUGGCGCAUGCCUGUAAUCGCAGCAACUCGGGAGGCUGAGACAGGAGGAUCAUGAGUUCAAAGCCAACCUCAGCAAAAGCAAGGCGGUAAGCAACUCACUGAGACCCUGUCCCUAAGUAAAAUACAAAAUAGGGCUGGGGAUGUGACUUAGUGGCCAAAUGCCCCUGAGUUCAAUCCCCAGUAUCCAAGGGGGGAAAAAAAAAACCUAUUUCCCAGAUCUUGCAAAAGACAUGGGCAUCUAUAUACACGAUGCAUAUAGAACCCCAAAGAGAUAUGUUGUGAAAGGAACUUUUCCAUGAUACAUUGUAGUUAAAUUGUCAAACAUACUUCAUCAAGAAAACAAUAUUAAACGUGGCAAGAGAGAAGUGUCAAGGUACAUUUAAAGGCAGACGCAUUAGACUAACUGAAUAUUUCUCAGAAGGAACUCUAUUAAAGGACAGGAGGGCAUGGAUCCAUGUAUUUGAAGUCACGAAAGACAAAAAAAAAAUGAGCCAGCCAAGAGUACUGUGUUCACCAAGGCUAUCUUUUAGAAUUGACAGAGAAGUAAAGACCUUCCAAGAUAACCAUGAAGAAAGGGAAUUCUUGACUACUGGACCAAAUUACAAAACAUAAUUAAGGCAAGCCCACAAGAAGAGGAAGAAAAAUUAUAGGAACAUGUAAAAGAAUAAGUCUAACUAGAAGAGAAUAGAUAUGCAAAUGAGAAAUAAGAAAGCAUCAAACAUUAUCGUCAUUAACCAUUAAGUGUGUAAGAUGAAUGAGAUGAAAGAAUGAACAGAAUAUUUAAAACAACCAGAAGAUAAACAAACACUAUUAGAGAUAGAUUCCAAAACAGUAAUAAUGGGUGACUUCAGUACCCUACUCUCAUCAAUGGAUGGGUCAUCCAGGAAAAAAAAUCAAAGAAAUAUCAGUUAGAUUAUAUUUCUGAUUAAAUGGACAUUGUAGACAUCUAUAGAAUAUUCUACCCAACAGCUGCAGGAUGCAUAGUUAUUUUCAUCAAUGUAUGAGUCUUUCUCAAAUAGACCAUAUAUUAAGUCACAAAACUAGUCUUAACCAAUUCAAAACAAUUGAAUUAGUGAUGUAGCUGAAUACAAAAUCAACUUAGGAAAAUCAGAUUUUCUGAACAUUAAUGAGCUCAUUGAGAAAUUAGGAAAAUAAUCUUACUACAGACAAAACAAACCUGGAAAGAAACUGAAGAAGCCAUUACAAGGUGGAAAGACAGACCCUCCCCCAUGUUUGUGUACUGGGAGAAUUGGUGUUAAAUGGCCACACUAGUCAACCUUUGGUGUGGCCCUUUUCUUUCUUUUUUUCUGGGGCAGGGGAGCCUGGGGAUUGAACUUAGGGGCACUCAACCACUGAGCCACAUCCACAGCCCUAUUUUGUAUUUUCUUUAGAGACAGGGUCUCAUGAAUUACUUAGUGUCUCAUUUUUGCUGAGGCUGGCAUUAAACUCUCAGUCCUCCUGUUUUAGCCUCCCAAACAACUGGUAUUACAGGCAUGAACCACUGUGCCUGGCUGCACUUAUGGUUUUCUAUGUGUAGAAUCAUCAACAAACAAGGAUAAUUUGACUUCCUUAAUUUUUUAACAAUUUUUUUCCUUUAGUUGUCAAUUGACCUUUAUUUAUAUGCGAUGCUGAGAAUCAAACCCAGUGCUUUACACAUGCUUGUAAGCACUCUACCACAGAGCCACAAUCCUAGCCCUUCCUUUAUUAUUUGUAUUUUUUUUAAAGUAUUUUUAGUUGUCAAUAGACACAAUAUCUUUAUUUUUUUAUGUGGUGCUGAGGAUCAAACAUGCUUCACAUGUGCUAGGUAAGCACUCUACCACUGAGCUACAACCCCAGUCCUAUUUGUAUGUUUUUAUUUCUUGCCUAAUUGCUCUGGCUAAAUGUUAAGUACUGCUUUUAAUAAGAGUGCUGAGUAAGCAACUAUGUCUCAUUCUCGAAUUUAGAGGAAAUUAUUUCAGUAUUUUCCAAUUCAAUGUUUUCAUAUAUAUUUAUUUUGUCAUAUAUAGCCUUUGCCCUGUCUCAGGAAACUACUGAAGGUGAGUACUCAUUCAAAAUGAGAAUAAGCCAAGAUAACUUGUAACUUUGAAGACUGAAAUGAAAUGUAGUUUAAGUGAAAGAAAAAGGCAAGAGAAUGGAAACUAUAAGUAAAGAGGAAAGGAAAUGCAUACUCUGAGUUUAGAUAGGUUGGAGAAUUGGAUAAUAUCCUGUUUCUUAACAUCCUCAGUAAAGGGAUUAAUAGAUAUAGUUGUAAAUUAUACAGUAUCAAAGCAAUGGUUUCCUGAAAGACCUUUUGAAAAUGUUAUGAAAAGGAUCCUUUGCAAUAGAUACAUGUUUCAAUUGAAGAUUUCUUACAGUCUUCUUCUGUUACUAUAACAAAAUGUCUGAGAUAAUAAACUUCUAUUUUUGGCUUACAGUUGUAAUGCUCCUGGUUGGUUUGCUCAACAAACACAUCAUGGUGGCGAACAUAUGACAGCAGAGAUGGGCUACAGUCUCCAGCUGUGAGACCUAGACUAAGGGCUGGGUUCCCGUUUUGCUCAUGUAAAACGAGGCUCCAUGAUAAAAUUGAAGAUUACUUCCAAUUUGUAGUUCUAUGCUUUUUAGUGGUGUUUAAUAACAGUAUUAAAAUUGACAAAAUUUAAGCCUUAAGCCUUGUUUUUUAAUGCAAGGAAACAUGAUAAAAUGUUAAGUAACAAAAACAACACACAUGUACACAUUGUAUUUAAAAGAUGGUCUCUCAACUUUAUUUUUUAAAAAAAAGUGAAAAUGAAAAGAUACCCAUAAUGGGACUCUAUGAGCUUAUUGAUAACUCCCCUGCCCUUCCAGUUUUCCUUAAUUUAUUAUUUUGCCUUUCACCUAUUUGGUUGUAGAAAAAUUUAAAGAAAAAGAAUAUCUAUGAUAAUCCAUAAACAUGACCAAAUUAAAGUUAUGUUAAUUUUAUCAUAUGUUGAUGGCAUCAUGUGGUCACUGUAUGAGGCAAAUCUUUUGGUGAGGGAGGGGUGGUGCUGGAGAUUGAAUUUGGGCAGUCAACUCCUGAGCCACAUCCCAACCCUAUUUUGUGUAUUUUAUUUAGAGACAGGGUCUCACUGAGUUGCUUAGUGUCUGGCUGUUGCUGAGGCUGGCUUAGAACUCAUGAGCCUCUUGACUCUGCUUCCUUAGCUACUAGGAUUACCGGUGUGCACUGCUGCAUCCAGCUGAGGCAAAGCUUUUUUAAGUUUUCUGUAUUACUAUAAGCCAUCGUCAUUUUUUUCCUUAUGCAUGACAAUAGAAUGUAUUAUUUUGACAUACAUUUAUGGAUGUUAUGGUUUUUGAGGUGUACCCCAAAAGCUCAUGUGUGGGCAAUGCAAGAAGGUUCAGAGAAGAAAUGAUUGGGUUAUGAGAGCCUUGACCCAACAGUGAAUUAAUCACCAAUGGGGCACCCUUCAUGCACUAGGAAGUUUAUUCAGAAGUGUUCAGGCUGCUGCAGCCAGGGUCCCUGGGGCCAUGGCUACCGCUCCAGAUGGCAGCAGACCAUGGUGUCAAACAUGUGGUGCUGGUUCUGCAGGAAAGCAGGAUGCUGGAGUUAGUGGGUUAUGGAGGCUUCCACCAAGAUUUCAAAGGAUGGCCUGGAAAGCCAGGCAAAGUGCAGCAGGGUUGGAGUCUCUGUGGGCAGCCCCCAAGAGGGUUAGGCAUGGAGAUGUGUGGAGGAAGCCAAAGCUCUGAUGGAGACCCCUGAAGAUUAAGAAAUGCCAGUAACGUGGAGCAUCAUCCUAGGAAAGCUGCAGGAUCAAGAAGACAAUCAGGCCAUUUGGGCUGCAACCAACAAAGCCAGAGGGGUAAUCUAUACAAGUUCUUUGGAGAGGACAUCAUAUCAUAUGCUCCAGAUGCCAGACAGAACUAUAGGACUUGUUUGACCAGCUGGAUUUCAGCCUGGCUUUGGUCCCUUCCUUUCUCUCUAUGCCUCUGUUUUUCUAAAUGUUUUCGAAGGCCUCUGUUUUUCUAAAUGUUUUCUAAGUGUUUAGUUUGUACCUUUAUGUUUUCUAAGUGUUUAUUUUGUACCUUUAUAUAUUGGAAACUUGUAAAUAGCUUGAUUUUUACAGGAACUCAUGAUGCAAGUUUGCCUUGAGUCUGAAAGGAAACUUUGGACUUGAACUCUGAGCAGUCUUGGAACUGCUGAGACUGUGGGGACUCUUGGGGAUAGACUAAAUGUAUUUUGCUUUGUCAGAUGAGUGUGAGCUUUUGGGGACGGGGUGGAAUGUUAUAGUUUGGAUGUGAGGUGUACCCCAAAAGCUCAUGCGAGACACUUCUAAAAGGUUUAGAGAGGAAAUGAUUAGGUUGUGAGAAUCUUAACCCAAUCAGUGAAUUAAUCACCUGAUGGGAUUGAGUGGUAACUGAAGGCAGGUGGGUGUGGCAAGAUGAAGUAGUGGGGGUCUCUCUCUGCUUCCUCCUGAUCAUGUGAGCUGCCUCCCUCCUCCACACUCUUCUUCCAUGAUGUUCAGCUUCACCUGUAGUCCUGAGGAAUGGAGCUGUCUGCAUAUGGACUGAGAACUCAAACUGGAGCCCUCAAAUAAACCUUUCCUCCUCCACAAUUAUUCUGUUUGGGUCUUUUAGUCACAGCAGUAAAAAAAGCUGACUAAAACAAUAGAGUAUAACUUUGCCUUCUUUUAGAAAAGAGUCCCCACAGUCUCAACAGUUCCAAGAUUGCUCAAAGUUCAAGUCCAAAGUCUCCUCUGAGACUCAGGGCAAACUUGCAUCCUGAGUGCCUAUAAAAAUCAAUUCUUUAAAGAAUCAGCAUAAAUCCAAAAGACUUCUAUUAAGGGGAGGAAGGAAACAUUAAAAGAACAACCUGGAUCGGGUACUAAUUAUUUUACAUGGUUAUCUCACAUAGAUAUUAAAGAACUUUUAGGAGAUUAUCCUAUUCUGUUUGACAAAGAUCUUCAAGAUAAAUGACUUUUUCUUUUCUCUAAAAGUUUACAUACCUUGGCUGGAUGUGGUGUUGCACACUUGUAUUCCUAGCAUUCCAGAGGAUAGGUCAGGAGUAUCAGAAAAGUGCAAGGCCAACAUUAACAACUUAGCAAGAUCUUGUCUAUAAAUUUAAAAAGGGAGCAGUGGAUGUGAAGUGCCCUUAGGAUCAAUCCCUAGUACCAAAACAAAUAAAAGGUGACAUUCAGAUGAAUAUGUAUGUCAUGAUCCUGCUUACAUUAACAAAAAAGAAAACCCUUAUGUCUAGAAAAAUUCUGGGAAGCUACAUAAAAGUAUUUACAGUAGUAACUAAUAAAUGUUGAAGAUUCGGGAUAAAAAUAUUUAUUUUAUAUUUUUUCAUAUUUAAAAAAUAGAACAGGGGCUGGGGUUGUAUCUCAGCAGCAGAGCGCUAGCCUAGCACGUGUGAGGCCCUGGGUUCGAUCCUCAGCACCACAUAAAAAUAAAUAAAUAUAGUGUCCAACUAAAAGCUAAAUAUUUAAAAAAAAUUAAAAAAGAACAGGUAUUAGCCUAAUGUGUAUAUGACUUUCAGGAGAAGAAAAGGAGGCUUUGAAGAUCUAAAAGAACCAGUAUUUUUCUUAUAAUUUGCUUUAUUUAUCUGUGAAGAAAACAGUAGUGUGCAAGAGGGCAGUUUUCUCAGUAUAGGUAGCCUCAUAAGGUUUUCUCUUAAUGAGAAAGAACAUCUUUUAAGUUGUAUUUGCUUUUUGUAUCUAGUAUACCUUAUUUUUUCUGUUUUUAUUUUAGUUGCAGAUGGACACAAUACUUUUAUUUUUAUGUGAUGCUAAGGAUUGAACCCAGUGCCUCAUAUUCUGGGCAAGCACUGUACCACUGAGCUACAACUGCAGCCCCUACUGUACCAUUGUUUUGACAUUGCACAGAUAAUGCAAUUUCAAUGAUUCAGUUUUGUUGUGCAAUGUAAGAUUUUUUCAUUUAUUACUGUUUUAAAAUAUAAAAAAUGUGUUUUGCAUCUGAAUAAAAUGCCCUGAAAUAUAAGAGAUCUGGAUUUCUACAUGGUACUGUAUCUUAAAGACGACUCAAAAGCACAAAGAUAACCCAAAUAUAGAGAAGGUUGUAUGACCUAAUAUAUGAUCUUUAUGGGAUUUGGUUCAAAUGAAAUGAUAGUACUACAUAGACCAAGAAGAGAGGGCUUGGCCCUGGGCUUCAAAGGGACUUGCAAACAUGCCUGCACACCCCCCUCCCCCCCCCCCCACGCAUACAUACAAAAUUAUUAGCACAUGACACCUGUAUCUCAAGAUUUCAUGCUCCCAGGGGUGGGGAGGUAGCUCUGUUGGUUAGAGUGCUUGCCUCCAAUGCACAAGGCCCUGGGUUCAAUCCCCUGCACUGCAAAACAAAACAAACAAAUGACUUGGUGCACCCAGGUAACAGUUCAGAUAGCAGAAAAGUGCUUCACCACAUUCUGGAAGUUUUGUGAGUUGCACUGGUAUUACAGAGUUAAACAUGAUGUGGGAGAAUUGAGAGGGGUUGAGUGGAAGAAACACUUGGG